RNAcentral lists this ribosomal RNA (301 nucleotides) under uncultured bacterium. RNAcentral describes it as "partial 16S ribosomal RNA". It matches the Rfam family "Bacterial small subunit ribosomal RNA", at positions 509 to 807 of the family's 1533-position model. The record is from RNAcentral.
CAGUCGCCGCGGUAAUACAGAGGGUGCGAGCGUUAAUCGGAUUUACUGGGCGUAAAGCGUGCGUAGGCGGCUUUUUAAGUCGGAUGUGAAAUCCCUGAGCUUAACUUAGGAAUUGCAUUUGAUACUGGGAAGCUAGAGUAUGGGAGAGGAUGGUAGAAUUCCAGGUGUAGCGGUGAAAUGCGUAGAGAUCUGGAGGAAUACCGAUGGCGAAGGCAGCCAUCUGGCCUAAUACUGACGCUGAGGUACGAAAGCAUGGGGAGCAAACAGGAUUAGAUACCCGCGUAGUCCCUGUCUCUUAUAC